This 252-nucleotide ribosomal RNA is filed under the name uncultured bacterium. RNAcentral describes it as "partial 16S ribosomal RNA". It matches the Rfam family "Bacterial small subunit ribosomal RNA", at positions 524 to 776 of the family's 1533-position model. The record is from RNAcentral.
UACGUAGGUCCCGAACGUUGUCCGGAUUUAUUGGGCGUAAAGCGAGCGCAGGUGGUUUAUUAAGUCUGGUGUAAAAGGCAGUGGCUCAACCAUUGUAUGCAUUGGAAACUGGUAGACUUGAGUGCAGGAGAGGAGAGUGGAAUUCCAUGUGUAGCGGUGAAAUGCGUAGAUAUAUGGAGGAGCACCGGUGGCGAAAGCGGCUCUCUGGCCUGUAACUGACACUGAGGCUCGAAAGCGUGGGGAGCAAACAGG